This 211-nucleotide unclassified non-coding RNA is filed under the name plant metagenome. Its description in RNAcentral is "partial contains small subunit ribosomal RNA, internal transcribed spacer 1, and 5.8S ribosomal RNA". The record is from RNAcentral.
UUUCCGUAGGUGAACCUGCGGAAGGAUCAUUCAUAAUAAAGUGUUUUAUGGCACUUUUUAAAAAUCCAUAUCCACCUUGUGUGCAAUGUUAGAUCUCGUCAAUCUUGGCGAGAUUUUUAUACAUCAACUCAUUCUUUAACUAAUUUGUCUGAAAAACAUUAUGAAUACUUAAUUCAAAAUACAACUUUCAACAACGGAUCUCUUGGCUCUC